Molecule: ribosomal RNA, 448 nt
Filed under: uncultured bacterium
Lineage: Bacteria
Description: partial 16S ribosomal RNA
Rfam family: Bacterial small subunit ribosomal RNA
Source: RNAcentral
AACGAACGCUGGCGGCAGGCCUAACACAUGCAAGUCGAGCGCUCUAGCAAUAGGGAGCGGCGCACGGGUGAGUAACGCGUAGGAAUCUACCUUGUAGUACGGAACAACAGUUGGAAACGACUGCUAAUACCGUAUACGCCCUUCGGGGGAAAGAAUUUCGCUAUAAGAUGAGCCUGCGUUAGAUUAGCUAGUGGGUGAGGUAAUGGCUCACCAAGGCGCCGAUCUAUAGCUGGUCUGAGAGGAUGAUCAGCCACACUGGGACUGAGAAACGGCCCAGAAUCCUACGGGAGGCAGCAGUGGGGAAUGUUGGGCAAUGGGCGCAAGCCUGACCCAGCCAUGCCGCGUGAGUGAUGACGGCCUUAGGGUUGUAAAGCCCUUUUAGUGGUGAGGAUGAUGACGGUAACCACAGAAAAAGCCCCGGCUAACUUCGUGCCAGCCGCCGCGGUAA